AAUUUCUAAUAUUUUGUAACAGCAAAUUUUAAUAACACAAAAAAUCCGUAUGUUCAUGCCAGUACCGAAGUACUGGCUACUGGGCUGGUGAUACCCUCGGGGACUAAUAGUCUACCAGCAGAGGCAUCGACCCAGUGGUAGUAAUAAAAUUAACGGUACCAAUUUUCUUGCACCAGAUGCGCAUUUCGACAAUACAUGUCUCUUCAGUGAUGCUCGUGGCCAAAAUAUUUGAAAUCCAAAGCUUAUAUAAAAGAUG
This 256-nucleotide long non-coding RNA is filed under the name Mytilus galloprovincialis (Mediterranean mussel). The record is from RNAcentral. Lineage: Eukaryota; Metazoa; Mollusca; Bivalvia; Mytilida; Mytilidae.